Molecule: transfer RNA, 74 nt
Filed under: Drosophila sechellia
Lineage: Eukaryota; Metazoa; Arthropoda; Insecta; Diptera; Drosophilidae
Description: tRNA-Arg
Rfam family: tRNA
About the family: Transfer RNA (tRNA) molecules are approximately 80 nucleotides in length.
Source: RNAcentral
GCCCCAGUGGCCUAAUGGAUAAGGCAUCGGCCUUCUAAGCCGGGGAUUGUGGGUUCGAGUCCCAUCUUGUGGUA